Peromyscus maniculatus bairdii (prairie deer mouse) is the source of this 5698-nucleotide non-coding RNA. NCBI's taxonomy places the organism in Eukaryota, Metazoa, Chordata, Mammalia, Rodentia, Cricetidae. The record is from RefSeq and is a predicted model, not a curated record.
AGGCGGGGCCUAGAUGGGAGACCUUAGGACCCGAGAUUGGGAUGUACCGCCUCUCUUGGUUCCUGGUGAUCCUGGAAGCUGGAUGGUAAACCAAGCGGAGUUCUUCUGAGAACCCAGCUGGACUGCACCUCACCUCUCCUGGAUCCUGUAAUCAACCCCUUUACUAGCUGAAGUCAUCAACCAGUUCUCUCAGCUACCCCUCCUGAAAGUGUCUACAAGACCUUGACGAGAGAGGUGUCCUGCUCUGUGCCUGGAGGAAAGGACUAAAAACCGGAAGCCACCAAGAAGAACCCGAGCAAGCUGGCUGAUUGUCUCCCAGCUGGAACCGUGAGAUCAUAAUCCAGGCACACUUCUAUAGUUCUGCCCAUUCCUCAUCAAACCUAAAUGCUCGGAUGGCUUUCCAUGGGUGUAGUCUUCAUUUCAGAAAGCUCCUGUGCCACAUAAUGCUCGAGUCGAUGUAUUGGGCUUUUCUUUUUUCAAUCUGCUUUUUGUUAAGGAUAUCAGCCAUGGCUUUACCUUACUUUCCUCCCUCCCUCCCUCCCUCCGUCCCUCCCUCCUUCCCUCUCUCCCUCCCUUCCAUUUUGGGGAUUGAAUCCAUAAAGGCAAACACUACAGUAACUAUACCUUCAGGCUCUCUUAAGGUUCCUUUCACACAAAUGAUUUGCAGUCUUCUUAUAAUUUAUUUUUAUUUAUGUGUGUCCAUGUCUAUGUGUAUAUGUGCCACACAUGUUCAGGUGCCCAUGGAGAAAAGAAGAGAGCAUCAGAUCCCCUGGAGCUGGAGUUACAGGCAGUUAUGAGCAUCCUGGUGUGCAUGCUGGGAACAGACCUUGGGUCUUCUGGAAGAGCAGUACACACCCUAACCAGCCCCAACUAACUCCAGAUUGUCUCUCUCCUCUCUGGCCCUUAGAAAUCCUUGUUGGAAGAGUAGGGAAAUGCCCGAUUCCCUGCCGGCAGUUCAAAGCAACACAGCUUGCUGUGGUCUUCUCUCACCAUUCUCCGACAAGGGGUCCCUCUGCACAAAGUCUUAGCGAGGAGUUGCUGAUUCUCUGCUCUCGCUGACAGAGUGGGUGAUGCAGUUGGCUGAGGUGUCAUGUUCACAUAAGAUCAGAUGUUCCGGUGGGCCGUGGAGUCUAGGUGUGUGAGGGGCUAAAGGUAUGAGAGAAAGAAGCUGCCCUGGGUACCGGGCUCUAGUGAGAUGCUGUCUAUGACAAACAAGACGGUUGCUAUCAGAUACCCUUCCUUUGGCUGGCCCCUCCAGAUGCAGUCCCUUGGCAUUUCCUGUCUUCUUCACACCUCCAGGGCUGGCCCCCAGCUCAUGCUCCCACGACAGCAGAAGUCCAAGCUCUCCCGUUUUAACUCCAAGUGGAUUGUUACUGCUUUCCAUGGCUUUGGCCUUCAGCUCUUAACCUAGUCAGCAGUUCUCUAACUGCUGUAUGGAUUAGAACCCUCUAAAAGCCUCAAGAAACAGGCUUGUAGGUCCCAGCCUUGGUUCUGUUCACUAAGUCUAGGGCGGGGACAGAUUUGCAUGUUUGGGGUUCUGAGAGGGUGUCAGUGCUACUGGGAGACCCAAGUCAGACCCUCUGGUCAACCUGUCUUCAGACCCCCCUCAUUGCAAACACAUCCUGCCAUUUAUGUGGCUGCUUUACAUCAACAAAUCUUCACAACAACCCCGUGAGGUAGGCACCGCUGAUAGUCUUAUUUCAAGAGGAAGAAACGGAGGCACAGAGAUUAUGUAUCUUGUGUAAUGUAAGUGAUGGAGCUGGUCAGCGCUGACUAUAAAGCUUGGAUUUGUAAUCACCUUACCAUGCUGCAUUAACUGCUAAGGAUCCCCCUACCACCCCAUCCCCUUGCACAUCUACGAUUAUCUACUUUGGAAUCCCUGGACUUUAUGAACACGGUGCCUUUUCAUUCAGCACCAAUCUCUCCCCAAAUUUCUCUUUGCUGCUGGCUAAAUACAUUAAGAGGAAAUGGGGAUUUCAUAGCCACCAAGACCUUCAGACUUUUGUGAGGGAUGUGUACUCUGACUUCAGGGGGGGGGGGGACGACAACCUGAAGGUCGAAAAGUCUUAAAGAUAGCCAGUUCUAUUGCUUCCAAUAAUGGAUGGUAACACAAAUGAAUGACUGAAGGAACCGGUCCAAGGAUUCCUCUCAGCCUUCACAAGUAAAUCAACAUGGCUCAUUUGCAUAUAAGGCACUGUGCCUCAGAUCAGAGGCUGAUCAUACAUCAGAAUUUUGCAACUAAUUUUUUUAGGGUCCGGUAAGGGUUACAACCCUGUGUUUGGAUUUUAUAAGUAUUGGGAGCAUCCUGCUUCAUGACUCACAGUCCUUUGGCUUGUAGACCUUUGGUCUCUCAGGAGAGGCUCAGUGGAAGCCACAAACUAAUUGCUAGAUGGAAGCAAAAUUCAACGCCUACCAGGGCAGCUAAGAUUUGGUUUUCAAUAAAGACAGCACAGAGAUCUGUGUGAUUUCCCUCUUCAGCGGUUUCUACACUCACUGGAAGUUUGCUUGAGGUAGUUUUGUUUCCUCCAAAAACUUCAGUCGAGUUGACUUGUACAGUCCAGGGAAUCUAGAACAUACGUGUUCUUCUUCUAAGAUUGACUCCCCUCUCUACCCCCUUUCUGGAUCAAUGAUUUGUUUCUGAUAAUUCUAUGCCUUAUGCUGUAGGAAGCUCUGACAGGCUGUGGAGAGGAAAUGGGCCUUGGGAGAUGAGGCUGGCUUUUGAGAAUUUGUCCACCAGAGUCCUCAGACACUCCGGUGGUUCUUGCACUUGUUCAACACCGGACUGACUCCCUUGUACUCUAGUCCAAAAACGCCAAUUCCCCAGGCGCUCCUAGAGACCACACAGAACAGUGUUUUAGGACUGAACCCAGACAUCUCUGUGCAAAAACAAGCAGAGUAGGAAGCAAAACCAGCUCCCAGGGGCUCCCGUGGCAGGGUGGUGUGGAAAACCACUAUGAUGAUGGUCUGAUGGAGCAACUCAGUCAAGAGUAUAUUUAGCUAAGGGUAGAAAAUGGAAAAGUAGAGGUCAGGACACAUCAAAUACGUGGGUGUAUGUCCUUUCUUAAUUAGAGUGAACUUCUGUGGGUAGACAACCCUGGGACUUAGACAACAAGUGUCACCCGGCAAGGACAGCCCAGAUCAGCCUUCAAUGGCCUGGCUUCACUCUCUCUCCACCUUGUGUGAAGGGUCUCAGGAAGGCCAUCUCGUUGGCUGUUGGCCUAAAAUACCCUAGACAAGGGUGUCCCAUUCACUCCCCCUGGGCUCUGGGAGGCAGGGCAGCGGGCCCCCUGUCCCAGGCUGCUUCUUGGCUGCUAGAUCCGGGCAACUUCACAACCCCCUCCAACCCAGUGGAUUCUGGACUAUUUUCCUUCCGCCUGUAACCCCCAGGGCGUUUUUGUUUGUUUGUUUGUUUUUUUUUUUUUAAUCGUUGUUCUUUUUUCUUUAAGAAGCUCCAGAGAACUUAGAAAGCUGAUCCUUGAAAGCUAAGCAUUUCUAAUCACAUAAAGGUAUCUCUGCGGGACUUGAGCUGAAGAGUUUGUCCGGGGCUUUCAUCUUUCUGUGUCUCCCUUUCCUUCGCCAGUCUUUCUGGACUCUUACCUACCCAGCUUCUUGCCGGAUGCUCCCUCCCCGCCCCGCCCCCCUGCCCCGAGCUCCCGGCCCCUCGCCAUCAUCUCCAUACUUGCGAGCCAACAGAGUAAAGAAGGGCUUGGUCAGAGGUCCAGAGGGGGGGAGGGACGAAGUCAUGUGCCCCCAUGCUGGGCCCAAGAAGACUGUGAGAAAACCUCUCUCCAUCUGCAGCCCAGCCCGGUGGGAGUCAAUUAAUUCUGAAUAACCUAAAAACGACAGAGGUAUUUGCAUUCACAACCUGACUGAUGACCGUGUAAAAUUGAUUUAUGAAUUAAAGUGCUUCCCCUCCCUUUAUCCCGAUUCAGUCUGUAAUUGAUUAUACGUGCUGCAGCGAAAUUAAAGAAAGGAAAAUGAAAAAGAAAAGUGAAGAAAGAGAGGCCCUUGCUCGGCAGUCCAGCAUUCUCAGGGUUCCCCGCGACCGGCUCUUCUCUCCAUCACUUACCAUUUUUUUACUUAAAAAAUUGCUUCCAACGUCGCUUCUACCCCAUCUCUGCCCCUGCUCUGGCUCCACCAUGGUUAGCAUUUCCUUUCCCUGCUUCCUCCUCUCUGAACAUUUGGAUAUGGCAAGGCGUCUCCCAGGUAGAACUGUACCUGGAAAAAUGUGGGAGGUGAGCGAAGCCGUCUUUGGUUUCCUGCCCCCCUUCUGCAUUGGUCUUUCUCUCUGCCCCUUUGCUUACUUGCCUCCUCCUUUCACUUUUUUGACUGCCCUCCACUCUAACCCGACAUCAUCAAAACUCCCACGUAGCAAGUUCUCUCUCUCUCUAUUUAUUUUGAGACAGGAUUUCUCUGUGUAACAGCCCCAGCUGUCCUGGAACUCACUUGGUACACCAGGCCAGCCUCGAACUCACGGAUAUCUGCCUGCCUCUGCCUCCUGAGUGCUGGUUCCUAACAAGAAUCACAUUGAUGACAAACAUUUUAAUGGCUUACCCCCUUUCUGCAGAAUUUUUCCACGGGAAAUCAAGUGUUUGUAUCAAGUGUUUGUAUCAAAUCUCAAGGUGCUUUCAGCCAGAGGAGGAGAGUUUUCUUAAUAAGAGGGAGUUUAAGCAGGGGGAGAAGAGGAAUAGAAUUCAAACCACCCAGAGAACGUAGGAGCGGACUUUGAAACCAGCUGCAUCAGGGAUCUGAACAUUGCUACCUUCGUGCUCCUGGUGCGUCACUUCCUUUUUCUUUCCAUGGCUGUUUAAAAUAGCGAAGACUGUUAAGCUGGAGGUGGCAUGUAUAAAUCCCCUACAAGUACAACUCACCAAAAAAAUCACAAUGGAGCCUGCAUCCUUGCUUAGUCUACUCUGAAAAGAGGGCAGUUCUAACUCUAGAGUCUCCUGGCAAUCGGGUGAUUAAUGGCUGUCUCCCUACCUCAAACCCAGUGUGGGUGUUUGAGGCAUACAUGGGGAGCUGGUUGUCAUCGGAAGCUAGAUUGGGAGAGCCUGCUGUCUCCUUGGCGGUGGAACUCACUUACCCAUAAUGCUGUCUCAUUUUCCCCUCUCCCAUCUCAGGACCUCGGAGAUGUUACCCAUAGUUCCUGGCACUCAUUUCCCUGCCUCAGUUGCUGUAUUUUCAGUCUCCUUUCUUCGAGGUCCUUUACUAUCCUUGGCAGGUGCUGAGGCCGCACUGGGGAAAGAAAGGCGAGCCUGCAGAAGAGGCAUCUCGGUGGUUUGGAAUCCUGCUUCUCCCCUUCUCAGCAGAGUUGAACUACUGCCUACUUGAAGUCUUUGCUGCUUGGAAUCAUUGAGGAAAAUAAACAAAACCCGAGAGCAAUCUGUGAGAGUAUCUGGAUACCGAGGUCCUGGGUCCUGAAGUACUGAGCACUGAAGUACUGGGUAUUAGGGCACUGAGUACUGAAGUGAGAGCAGAAACAUAAGGUGGUAGGAAGUUGCUGAGAGAGCACUCCCUGGAGACAAACCACCCCUGCGCCUUUGCUAAUGGAAACCCCACAUUCACUUGAAGGGCGUUUUCUGUGUUUGUAGAGGUCCAGAGCAUCAAAUUAACAGAGAAGGGACCAGUGGAAGAAGGACAAAGUGGUUGGCUCUAAUUUCUAAGAGCCUCUCUUUCCCCAAGAAAUAAAGAACUUGAU